This is a non-coding RNA of Capsicum annuum, 106 nucleotides long. NCBI's taxonomy places the organism in Eukaryota, Viridiplantae, Streptophyta, Magnoliopsida, Solanales, Solanaceae. The record is from Rfam.
AUUUCAUGAUUUGGGCAUUAUAUCAACUUCUUAUUGAACCUUAACCAUGCUUCAUGUGAUGGUUCACCAUUUAAUUGCUGGAAGUUUAUGAUUUUAUUCCUCAAUU